UACGUAGGGAGCAAGCGUUGUCCGGAAUCAUUGGGCGUAAAGCGCGCGUAGGCGGCCUCAUAAGUCCGUUGUGAAAGUCAAAGGCUCAACCUUUGAAAGCCGAUGGAUACUGUGAGGCUAGAGUCCGGAAGAGGCGAGUGGAAUUCCUGGUGUAGCGGUGGAAUGCGCAGAUAUCAGGAGGAACACCUAUGGCGAAGGCAGCUCGCUGGGACGUUACUGACGCUGAGACGCGAAAGCGUGGGGAGCAAACAGG
RNAcentral lists this ribosomal RNA (253 nucleotides) under uncultured bacterium. RNAcentral describes it as "partial 16S ribosomal RNA". It matches the Rfam family "Bacterial small subunit ribosomal RNA", at positions 524 to 776 of the family's 1533-position model. The record is from RNAcentral.